Long non-coding RNA from Apus apus (common swift), 3984 nucleotides. RefSeq lists it as uncharacterized. Lineage: Eukaryota; Metazoa; Chordata; Aves; Apodiformes; Apodidae. The transcript is spliced from 3 exons. The record is from RefSeq and is a predicted model, not a curated record.
CCCCACUGCCCCCGGGCCGGGGCGCUUCGGAAGGCAGGCCUAGCCUGGUAUCCCGUCCCAGAAUGGGCGAGAGGUCUCCGGUGUGUCUAACGGCCUCCCUGUUGGCGAGGCAGCCCGUAGAGCUGUGUCCAGACCCGGCACGAACCCCGGGCGUGGCUGGGAACAGUCUCGGGGGGAGGGUGUUCGCGGGCCGAGUCCCGGUGAACUCUUCCCGGUAGUUGUCGGGUCCGGAGCAGGUCGGGCCCGGCCUGGCCUUGCGGGACGCUGGCUGCUCCCAGGCCGAGCCCGGAGCAGCGUAACGCAGGCUCGGUGCCUUAAGCCACGACCAGAGUUUGCUGGACAGAGCUGCCUGUCUCUUUCUUACCAGAAAGUUAUUAGGUGUGCUUGCAGAGCGUCUGUCAUCUCUGAACAGUACGGGCUGUGAUAGCUGUGGGAUGUGACUGGAGCCAAAGGUGACAGUCUUAACACCUUAACGUCUAGCAGAAGUUAACUUGUAGUUCAUGGGAGAACUGGAUUUCCUCGCAGUGUUCCUGACAUCUGAGGGAUAUGUCUUUCGUAGCAAGGAGGACUGCCACCAGCUCUCUUAAGUUGUGAAGGAAGUUCUAUUUAUCCAGUUGCUGAGCCUCAGAUUUACAUAUAAGAAUUGGUGUCUUAGCUUAUCUGAAGAGACCUCUUAACCUGAAGUCCAGCAGAAAUUACUUGCCAACACAUUCACCUUGUUUUCAUACAAGCAUUGCCAAGAUGUGGGAAAUACAUUUAUUUUAACUUACGGGUGAGUCUGAGAAAGUAUCUAGGUGGGUUUUUUGUUUGUGGGUCUAUGGUUUUCUGAUGUGCUGUUGCUGCUAACUGUCCUCUAAGACAGUAGUUAUUCCACCUUCCUAAUGGUUUUCAUUUAAGAUCUGGUAGAUAAAGCAAAAAGAGGAAAAGAAAAAAAGAGGCAAUUACAGUCUUUUUAUAAACUGUCUCCUGCAUGUAACUCAAAUCAGGUCACAGGUUUUGACUAGCAAAGAAGACUUUUUAAGGAUCUUCACUGAAAGAAAAAUAGCAUAACAGCAACACCCAAAAAGCAGAACUACGGUUUUGUUUCCUAUUUCCACUUGAUGCUAGCAGAAUGGUCUUACACAGAGGUUCCCAAAGUGGAGGUGGGACCUUGAGAAGAUUUAGGGCAAUAAUGAGUAGGGCUGUAAGGCUAAGAAACAUCAUUUCACAUGAUCUUGAUGUGUUUGAGGCCAAACAAAUUUAGCAUUAUGAAGUAGAGAAAAGGUCUGUGAACUGCUGAUCUACUUACUUGCUGAACAGUAAAAUGCGAUUUAGGAGACCCAGAGACAAGACUGAGACCCUCUCUAUGAUUUUUGGCUUAUUUGUUCAUUUGCUCCAUGGCUGAAUUUCACCAUUAAAAAAUAAAUGUAGUAAUUUACUUCAUGCUAUAACUGGUCGGAUGUUACAGUAAUAGAGCACAAAGCAAGUCAGGAUUUUGUUAGGGUCUUCAGUCAGCAGUAAAUUGUAUCUUGCAGCUGCAUGCUAAGAUUGAUAAUAUUCUCUGAGACACGGAGAACAUGACAGUUCCUGUGACAGGAUGCUAAGGAGAAGAAAUCCUUCAUCUGCCUUACUAGACAGGGCUCAGCAGACCCCAGCUUCUUCAGCACAGCAUCAAACAAGGAGGAUUGGCAGGAUAUCAGUGUCCUAAAAGUGUCAGAUUCAAGCCUCCCUAAAAAUAUUCUCUUGUACUGUAUAUUUGCGAGAGGUGAGGGUUGCAGUAUUGAAAAAAGCUAUACAGUAAAUAAGUAGUAAAUUUCAUUUUCCUCAUGUUGGGAAUAGUCAGUCCUUUUGACUGUGAGUUUAGCUACCAUUUGCCUUUAAAGGAUGGGUGGAGCUACAGCAGUGAUAGAAUGGCAGGUUCUUACUUUUGCACGGAGCUGUCUGACAUUCACACACAGACAAUAUAUGUAUUUUCUCCACAAAUAGUAAGGAGAGUGAUCUGAUUGUCCAGUGUGGUUCUUUGGCUGGAGGAGAAGUAGGAGGAGAGAAACAGGGGGUGGAUCAAUGACAUAUGACUGCUGUGAUCUUCUUCCUUGUGUGGAAGGUUUAUGGCUACAGCAGAUGCUAUUCUGGGACCUCUGAUAUGGUUUUGAUUUAGUUUUAAUAACCUUUCACUUUGUGUGUUUUUCUAUUACACUAUCUUGCUACUAGACUUUUUCUGGGGGAAAUAAGCAAUCUGUACUCCCCCAAGCUUUCUUGCCCUCCUUUGCUAAGUAUGUCCUAAGAAUAUUCUGAGACAGUUAAGAAAUCUAUGACAUAAAAGUAGGAAACACGUGAGACCAGCUUUAAACCACUGUCCCACAAUGACUUCUUUGGGAUGGGGAGCAAAGGACAUAAAAACUAUCUGGGAGGAGGAAGUAACUGGAAGUAACAGUAAGCAUUUUUUACUCUGCCAUUAUUUUCCUCCCGGAGUUCCUUUCCCAUGUUUCUGCAUGGUUUUUAAGCAGAGCCAGGAGCAAGAAAGGACAGGAACAGAAACUAAUCAAAUUGCAAUCAAAAGAGCUUUUUUAUUAAAGUUAUUUGGUACUAAGGUCAGGUACUGUCUGGACGAUUUGGAAAGUAACAGCAAGGCCACAGAUCUGUUGCCCUUACCUGCCCAAGCUCCCUGAAAGGAUGUCUCAGUUGCUAUGAUUGCUCAGCUUUUCUUCUCACUGCUCUGACUGCCAGCAAAGAUGCUAACUCAAGCUGGCUGUGGCAAUGAGAAUAGCUAUCCAUGGAGACGGUGGGUGCAGCCUGGCAAAGUCCUUGCACAGAGCGCAUAGGGCAGCCAGCAAAUGGUAACAAUUGUAUUUGUGAUCCUGCAAAGCUGAACCGGAGCAAGGGCUGUAGGGCAGACUGAAGUCUUCCUGCACUGACCAAUGGAGAUUUAUCUGUACCAUAAAUGUGGAGAAAAGGUAGCCCUGAAGGUGAAUCAUGGAGCAUUUUAAAGCAGAGUACCAGCUGCUGUUUGGAGGCCAUGCCAUUAAUUUCAUAUAGCAAAGCCAUAAAAAAAAUCUUAAGCUUAUUAGGGUCUUGUCUAACUCCCAAAUAGAUUUCUCCACAGGACAGUAUCUUACAGUCUUGCUUAAAGAGCUUAGGAGCAGGGGUGUUCUUACAGAAUAGAGGGAGAAAUUCUCUACAGGAAGGGUAAGGAGUGAAAGUCAGGAACAGAUGAAUAAACAAGGUAGAAAUAACAGCUAACAAAAAAGCUAUUGUCAUCAGCCUUUGUAAUGUCAGUCUUGGAAGGACUCUGUCCCCUCUGCAUGUCCAGUUUUGAGUCAUUUUAUCACAUCUAAUUCACUUUGUAUUUCUCUGUUUGGACCCCUCUGCAAUUACUGCAUAUUUAUAAAAACAGCUUGCAUUUCUCUAGGAUUUUCAUCUAAAGAGUCCAAACACACCAUUCAUUCUCACAUCCUUUAUAAGAGAUAGCUCACUGAAGAGAUGAACCACCUAAAGCACAAAGAGAUGAAGAAAAUCCUGAAGUCUAACAACAGCAGAUAUAUUUGCUAUAUCUCUGGUCUGUCGUCCCUGCUCUAUAAUCUGACCUACUGUUGUAAUGUUAAUGACUUUUUUUUCAGGUAUCCUGCUUCCCAAAUUGUUAUUUUUGGAAGUGAACUACAAAUAUUUACUUAUUGCUGCUUUUGAAAACCUCAGAGGGCUAAGAAAUAGUGUGGUUUUGUGUGGCAGAACAUCUUCUUCAGGUUCAUCUUUAUUUUGCUUGAGUUUUCUUGGACUGGAAAAUAGAUGCCAUAAAGGGAUCAAAUACAUUUUUAAGAACAUCAGAAGACAAGCUGCUACAUCAAAAUGCUUAUGGACCUGAAAUAUUUUGUAUUUGUUUUACUGAACAGAUUAAAAUCAUGUGAAAGGAAAGUCUAAUCUGUAAAAGUUUAAGUAUCUUCAGAAGACUUUACACCAGCAAUUAACUGUAGAGAGAAGAUCAAAUAACAGUAGUAACUCAUAGGAAAA